This 832-nucleotide long non-coding RNA is filed under the name Rattus norvegicus (Norway rat). RNAcentral describes it as "long non-coding RNA NONRATT024906". The record is from RNAcentral. Lineage: Eukaryota; Metazoa; Chordata; Mammalia; Rodentia; Muridae.
GGCAGCCCAAAUCACACUUGUUUUAAGAUUCAGGGCACUUACUACAGUAUUCCCGCCAGAAUGCACUCUUUCCUUACACCAGGACCCGACUGGAAAAUAUAAAGAUGGAUUGCUGUAGGCUGGAAAAUCAAUUAGGAAAGAAAGAGCUUGUUUGACCUUUGGAUAAACAACUAAAACCUUCUAGAAGCACCUCAAAGGGAUGCAAGAACGCACGUGCUAUUUGAAUAGCAGAAAGGUUUUACGUGGAUCCCUGACAGUAUACAAAGUAUUAUUUAUAUGAGCGCUUAAAAAAAAAAAAAAGCACUUGUAAAAUAUACACUCUUCAGCAAUAGCCAAAUAUGGAAGGCGUGGAUAUGGGAUCGCAUACGCAGGCAGACUCUGGAAAUGGGGAGAGCCAUGCCUGUCCUUUCCUUUGCAUCGUGCGUUCACAUGACUACGAAUUCCACCCAAGGAUGUCUGGAGUUGGCCAAAUGGAGACCAACAGAUUUUCUUCCUAAGAGCAACGUGCUCCUGAAUGUUCAGCAGAGGCUGCUCUGGCAUGGUGCCAGUCUGAUGACUCAUGGACUCAUAACUUUCUUGUCAAGGCAUAUUGAAAAAAAAUUUAUAUCACCAGGGCAAAGCACCAGCUGGAAUUUCUUGCUCAAAGCAAAUCUCUCCAUGCCCACCUUGGCCACAACUUCAACCUUUUCAGAAAACUGCCCUUGAACUUUGACCUUUUGGUAAUGCUUGACCUCGAUGAGAUCUGGACUGUGUUUUGGCAAGGGUAGUCACUAGCGAGCGGGGUACUUGACUGUUCCUGGUUCACAUUAAAGGGUUUUGGGGUUUGGUUUGG